This 1130-nucleotide ribosomal RNA is filed under the name Salmonella enterica subsp. enterica serovar Thompson. RNAcentral describes it as "bacterial LSU rRNA". It matches the Rfam family "Bacterial large subunit ribosomal RNA", at positions 398 to 1426 of the family's 2925-position model. The record is from RNAcentral. Lineage: Bacteria; Pseudomonadati; Pseudomonadota; Gammaproteobacteria; Enterobacterales; Enterobacteriaceae.
UGUGAGCUCGAUGAGUAGGGCGGGACACGUGGUAUCCUGUCUGAAUAUGGGGGGACCAUCCUCCAAGGCUAAAUACUCCUGACUGACCGAUAGUGAACCAGUACCGUGAGGGAAAGGCGAAAAGAACCCCGGCGAGGGGAGUGAAAAAGAACCUGAAACCGUGUACGUACAAGCAGUGGGAGCCCCACCACUAAGCCAGUGGUGAACUCCACAUACGCAUCCUUUGCUGAGGAUACGGUUAACGGAGCGAAAGCGACGUUCAACCGCAAAAGAAGCAGAGGGGGCUUAGUGGUGGGGUGACUGCGUACCUUUUGUAUAAUGGGUCAGCGACUUAUAUUCUGUAGCAAGGUUAACCGUAUAGGGGAGCCGUAGGGAAACCGAGUCUUAACCGGGCGUUAAGUUGCAGGGUAUAGACCCGAAACCCGGUGAUCUAGCCAUGGGCAGGUUGAAGGUUGGGUAACACUAACUGGAGGACCGAACCGACUAAUGUUGAAAAAUUAGCGGAUGACCUGUGGCUGGGGGUGAAAGGCCAAUCAAACCGGGAGAUAGCUGGUUCUCCCCGAAAGCUAUUUAGGUAGCGCCUCGUGAAUUCAUCUCCGGGGGUAGAGCACUGUUUCGGCUAGGGGGCCAUCCCGGCUUACCAACCCGAUGCAAACUGCGAAUACCGGAGAAUGUUAUCACGGGAGACACACGGCGGGUGCUAACGUCCGUCGUGAAGAGGGAAACAACCCAGACCGCCAGCUAAGGUCCCAAAGUCAUGGUUAAGUGGGAAACGAUGUGGGAAGGCCCAGACAGCCAGGAUGUUGGCUUAGAAGCAGCCAUCAUUUAAAGAAAGCGUAAUAGCUCACUGGUCGAGUCGGCCUGCGCGGAAGAUGUAACGGGGCUAAACCAUGCACCGAAGCUGCGGCAGCGACACUCAGGUGUUGUUGGGUAGGGGAGCGUUCUGUAAGCCUGUGAAGGUGUGUCGUGAGGCAUGCUGGAGGUAUCAGAAGUGCGAAUGCUGACAUAAGUAACGAUAAAGCGGGUGAAAAGCCCGCUCGCCGGAAGACCAAGGGUUCCUGUCCAACGUUAAUCGGGGCAGGGUGAGUCGACCCCUAAGGCGAGGCCGAAAGGCGUAGUCGAUGGGAAAC